Drosophila santomea is the source of this 937-nucleotide long non-coding RNA. RefSeq lists it as uncharacterized. Lineage: Eukaryota; Metazoa; Arthropoda; Insecta; Diptera; Drosophilidae. The record is from RefSeq and is a predicted model, not a curated record. The transcript has 3 exons.
AUUAGAGACAAUCUAGUUACUUUUCGUAAAUAUUUGGAAACAUUUUUUUUUUCAUUUUUGGCGCAACCACUGUGCUCUGCCCGAUCUUUCAUGGCCGUGACAUGCUGUUUCCUGUCCGAAAAUAUUUGUGUGCCACGGAUUACAUUGCAGUAAUUGACUUAAUUUAAGCUGUGGACCGUGUUCGACACAAUUGCAGAUCCAUCAGCGCCCAGAAUGCAUUCUGAUACUGAUAAGUCGAAUCAGAAUCAGACAGAGCGGUGUGCUGUGUUCUGCUCAAAAAGGAAAGAGAGAGCGAAAACACGAUGACCAAGCGGGAGACAACAACGAGUAAACAAGGGCAAGAGCAACAGCAGCAGCGGACAAUAAAGCUGAUUGCAGCAGUGGCAAAUUGAAUAUUUGCCAGCGCGUAUGUGUGUGCAGCCCUUGUGUUUGUGUUUGUUCGCAUUGUUAAAUGUCCGCACCAGCAGAGCAGCCAAAUGGGAUGAUAGAAGCCGAAUGUCGGAUAGCGAGCAAGCAGAGCGAGUGGCUACCAUUGUUAAUCCGCAGUUCGCUCUCUGUGCCCUUUGCCUCCGCCUCCGCCCUCGUCUUCUCAGCUUGCUACCAAAACUCAACUUCAACCCUGCUCUCUGGGAACUCUUAUUUUCAAGCUGUUGCUUCAGCUUCCGCUCAUCGUUCAAUUGUUGCUCUGCGGAUGCAGCGCUCUCUGCCGGGAGCUGCAACUUCUGGGUCCGAUCCGUUCAUUAUUUAUCCGGCUAGUGGAAAGCAAAUACCGCGCACAAGCCACUUAGUACUAUUAAUCUCAGAUUACUCACUUGGCACGGCGAGGCGAUAACGUGCCACUGCCACAAACGGAACCGCAACGGCGAUAAAUACUUUCCACAGCGAAAAUAACACUGCUUUACAAAUUUACAAAUUCUGUGAUUAAAGCAUUUAAUCA